GACGAACGCUGGCGGCGUGCUUAACACAUGCAAGUCGAGCGGUAAGGCCCUUUCGGGGGUACACGAGCGGCGAACGGGUGAGUAACACGUGGGUGACCUGCCCUCAGCUCUGGGAUAAGCCUGGGAAACCGGGUCUAAUACCGGAUAUGACUCCAUGACGCAUGUUGUGGGGUGGAAAGCCUUGUGCGGCUGAGGAUGGGCCCGCGGCCUAUCAGCUUGUUGGUGGGGUGAUGGCCUACCAAGGCGACGACGGGUAGCCGGCCUGAGAGGGCGACCGGCCACACUGGGACUGAGACACGGCCCAGACUCCUACGGGAGGGCAGCAGUGGGGAAUCUUGCGCAAUGGGCGAAAGCCUGACGCAGCGACGCCGCGUGAGGGAUGACGG
RNAcentral lists this ribosomal RNA (386 nucleotides) under uncultured bacterium. RNAcentral's name for it is "bacterial SSU rRNA". It matches the Rfam family "Bacterial small subunit ribosomal RNA", at positions 28 to 414 of the family's 1533-position model. The record is from RNAcentral.